GUAGAAUCAGAUCUCAGUGUUGGAGAAUAAAUGGAAGUAGAGGUUGAGACUCUAGUAGCUCAGUCAAACAAAGUAUAAGAUAGUAUAACUGAUCAACAACAGUCUUAUAACAUCGCAAUAGACAGAGAGAGAAGACAUAUUAGACCACCACAAAGGUAUGAAAAUCUGGUUGUGCAUGCUUUAACAAUUGCAGAGACAUUUGUUUUAUAAGAACC
RNAcentral lists this long non-coding RNA (215 nucleotides) under Carica papaya (papaya). RNAcentral describes it as "long non-coding RNA (CPAP_LNC001620)". Lineage: Eukaryota; Viridiplantae; Streptophyta; Magnoliopsida; Brassicales; Caricaceae. The record is from RNAcentral.